AGAGUUUGAUCCUGGCUCAGAUUGAACGCUGGCGGCAGGCCUAACACAUGCAAGUCGAGCGGUAACAGGGGAAGCUUGCUUCUCGCUGACGAGCGGCGGACGGGUGAGUAAUGUAUGGGGAUCUGCCCGAUAGAGGGGGAUAACUACUGGAAACGGUAGCUAAUACCGCAUAAUCUCUUAGGAGCAAAGCUGGGGAACUUCCGUCCUUGCGCUAUCGGAUGAACCCAUAUGGGAUUAGCUAGUUGGUGUGGUAAUGGCUCACCAAGGCGACGAUCCCUAGCUGGUCUGAGAGGAUGAUCAGCCACACUGGGACUGAGACACGGGCGAGACUCCUACGGGAGGCAGCAGUGGCGAAUAUUGCACAAUGGGCGCAAGCCUGAUGCAGCCAUGCCGCGUGUAUGAAGAAGGCCUUAGGGUUGUAAAGUACUUUCAGUUGGGAGGAAGGCGUUGAUGCUAAUAUCAUCAACGAUUGACGUUACCAACAGAAGAAGCACCGGCUAACUCCGUGCCAGCAGCCGCGGUAAUACGGAGGGUGCAAGCGUUAAUCGGAAUUACUGGGCCUAAAGCGCACGCAGGCGGUUGAUUAAGUUAGAUGUGAAAUCCCCGGGCUUAACCUGGGAAUGGCAUCUAAGACUCGUCACCUAGAGUCUUGUAGAGGGGGGUAGAAUUCCAUGUGUAGCGGUGAAAUGCGUAGAGAUGUGGAGGAAU
This 708-nucleotide ribosomal RNA is filed under the name bacterium AK-MR04. RNAcentral describes it as "bacterial SSU rRNA". It matches the Rfam family "Bacterial small subunit ribosomal RNA", at positions 8 to 707 of the family's 1533-position model. The record is from RNAcentral.